UCCAUGUCUACUGAAAAAAAAAAGCCUGGGUUGCCUACUAAGUUCCCACCAAGUUUGACAUGUUUUCCAUGUUCUGCACAAAAAUAAUUCAUGCUUGGCUGGGCUUUAUAUGAAUAGCUUACCUCUGUAUAUUCUGCUACUUCCCUCAUUUGAAUUCAAAUGAUGAGUGUGUCAUACGGGUUAAUCAAUUGAUGUGCUUCAUCUAUAUAUAUUUUGCUGAUGGUUACUAACUUCUGGUGUCUAUGGAUAUUAGUUGAGUUAACUUGAGUGUUAACAUCCACUUUUUUCCCUUGGCGUGCUGGCACCAAUGCAUAUUUAAACAUACGUUACUAGGUUU
RNAcentral lists this long non-coding RNA (337 nucleotides) under Lotus japonicus. RNAcentral describes it as "long non-coding RNA (LJAP_LNC000053)". Lineage: Eukaryota; Viridiplantae; Streptophyta; Magnoliopsida; Fabales; Fabaceae. The record is from RNAcentral.